CAAAACUCUUUCAUUAAUAUGUCCUAACUUACUGUAAACAGGCCUUGAUGGGUCCUAGAUACAGCAUCUCCUAACAAAAUUAAGGAAAGCAUAAGCUUCAGCCCUAAUAUUAAGAUUAAAUAUAUCAGCUUACACAGGGGUCCCGAGUCACCUGCAUCCCCAAGCACUUGCUUUCUACCAACCUCUAGGUUUGCUGUCUCCCCAAUCUGUCCGUAAGAACAUUCAUAAAUCAACCGUGAGUUUCCUGUUACACCUGGAAAGUAGCACUGGUAAAUAAAGGCAGGUGAACAGACCCAACUGAAGUCAAGCAGGCCAUAUCAUUGCAAGGAAAUGGGAAGGGCCUGAGUAAAGGUUGGAGGUUUAGCUGCAAGAUUGGAGUUAUUCAUUUUUGUUGUUUCUAGGACAGAGCAUGCCUGUCUGUGUAAUUCUCUCUUGCUUUUCCCUUUGAGGACAGCUACUGCACCAGAAACUCCCAAGGCAAGUGGAGUGACUGUAACACUAUUGGCUGGAGAGAAGAAGGGCUUCAGGAUUAAAAACCUGAGGCCUAGAAACCUGGAGCUGUCCGUCAGUCUCAGUGACUGGCGGGUAAGACAGACAACUCCACUCCCUGGACUGCUGGAAGGACUUCAGAGCUUCAGCUUGCAUUUUCUCUGCUCCAUGCACUUGCUAGGAGAAAAACUUCUUUCCAGCAUGCCUGAUAGGUAAGGAAAAAUCAUACCAAUCUUCUCUAAUAUGAAGGGCUUUGGGGACAGGACAUAUAUGUCUGGGAGAUGUGUAAAAGAGAGCUGCAUGAAAUGCAACACUGCAGCAAUACUGCUUCCUGUUUCUGUUCUGUUCUUGUACCUUUCUAAAAAGUUGGUGAGGACUAAAACAACAAGUGAAUCAUAAACUCUUUAAGCUAAAGUAAAGUGACAUUUUGCUUGAAUAGAGAGGAUAAUAUAGAAUCAGGUCUCCAAAUCUGCUGAGGACCUUGACAGCAUUUGCCAAGCAACUGCUCACUGACUGCUAUUGGCAAGGCAUUUUCUUUUCCAACUACAAAACCUGUCUAUUUAUCCUUUUGUAUUUCAAACGUCAAGUUUAAACAAGAAAAAUGUCACUGGGCUCAAGCAAAAGACAUGCACACUGGCAUAAGAAGAAAAU
This 1140-nucleotide long non-coding RNA is filed under the name Anser brachyrhynchus (Pink-footed goose). Its description in RNAcentral is "lncRNA (ENSABRG00000008673.1)". Lineage: Eukaryota; Metazoa; Chordata; Aves; Anseriformes; Anatidae. The record is from RNAcentral.